This 161-nucleotide small RNA is filed under the name Chelonoidis abingdonii (Abingdon island giant tortoise). RNAcentral's name for it is "TUC338 (ENSCABG00000016255.1)". The record is from RNAcentral. Lineage: Eukaryota; Metazoa; Chordata; Testudines; Testudinidae.
UCCACACUGGAAACUACAGCCAUCUAUUUAAUCCACAGAACAUUCAGCAACAGCACAAAUUUCCUCUGCCCCAUCCAAAGAGCCUCAACCCUAUCCUGAAGGACCACCUUCAAGGAAGAGAUAGUAACUUCAUUUCCAUGCCCACUGAUGCCAUGGCACCU